UUCCUUACACAAUAUUUUUAAAAAAAUCAUCUCAAACUCACAUAAUUCUUAUCAUUUUAUUUUCUAAAGUGGACCACAUUUUCAAGAAAUUAUUCUAUGCAUUCAAACUCAAACUAACUGCACUCGAUUCAAGUUCUUCUUGAAAAAGUUACAGAAUACCUUCUUCUUCGUUUUCUCUCGGCGCACGUUAGUUAACAUACGCCGAGCUCGUAGCAAUGACGAGAGGGAGGGGUCGAGGUAGGGGACGACCCCAGAAGAUUCCGAUUUCAUCAAUAGAGAGAGUGAUAACAAGCAUUAACCAGUCAUCUACGGAGAAUCCAUCCACUAUUGUUGCAGCUGAGCAACCUGUCGAUCCUUCACGCGAAGGUGAGAAUGAGGCAUCUAGUAUGAUUUCGCAACAACCUAAUGGGUUAAAGGAGACGGAUCGAAGCUUUCCAGUUUCGUUUGAAGCAGCGUUAGCUCCGUUGAAGCAGAUAACCACUGAAAGUGGAUACAUGCAAAAGCCUAUGCCAGCCCAAACUCAACCAGCAAAGGUAGUAAUAGAGCAAGCGGAGGAAAUAUCAAACAAAACAGUGGUACCAAAGCAGAACUGGGCCACCCUCUUUCAGAAAAACAUAUUUGCAUCUAAUGGUAUGGCUAUAGAAUACAUACCUCCGGUAAUGAUUGAAGGUCAACCAAUAGGGCAACUGAACAAAACAGAGGUGGAAGAGGAAGAGUAAGUGGAAAUGUGCCCUAAUUGUCUAUAUUUUAGGGGAUGGGCCUGGGUACAAUGCGAUGAAGAGAUUCAUAAACCUCCAUUGGGCACAUGUACCAGAGCCAGAUUUGUUUUAUCAUGAAGGAUACUACAUUGUCAAGUUCAGAACAAUUGAUGAUGUCAAAGAAAUCAUGUGUGCUGGUCCUUAUUCUAUAGCAAACAGACCCAUGAUUCUUAAGUGUUUUACCAUGAGGAAGGAUACUACGUUGUCAAGUUCAGAACAAUUGAUGAUGCCAAAGAAAUCAUGUGUGCUGGUCCUUAUUCUAUAGCAAACAGACCCAUGAUUCUUAAGCAAUGGACGCCAGAUUUUGACUUCACUGAGGACUUCCCUGUUGAUAUUCAUCAUGUGUGCUGGUCCUUAUUCUAUAGCAAACAGACCCAUGAUUCUUAAGCAAUGGACGCCAGAUUUUGACUUCACAGAGGACUUCCCUGUUGAUAUUCCACUAUGGGUCAAAUUCCCUAAACUUCCAAUGUCUUGUUGGGGAAUGAGAUCCCUAAGUAGAAUUGCCAGUGUGUUAGGGAAUCCUAUCUUUGCAGAUGAAUGUACAACCAAACAAUCUAGAGUUUCCUAUGCUCGAAUGCUCAUAGAGAUGAAUGUUACUAAAGAGCUACCGAGAGAAAUAUGGC
This 1381-nucleotide long non-coding RNA is filed under the name Nicotiana benthamiana. RNAcentral describes it as "long non-coding RNA (NBEN_LNC003941)". Lineage: Eukaryota; Viridiplantae; Streptophyta; Magnoliopsida; Solanales; Solanaceae. The record is from RNAcentral.